UACAGGGGGGCAAGCGUUGUUCGGAAUUACUGGGCGUAAAGGGUCUGUAGGUGGCCAACUAAGUCAGACGUGAAAUCCCUCAGCUUAACCUGGGGAACUGCGUCCGAUACUGGAUGGCUUGGAUUCGGGAGAGGAAUGCGGAAUUCCAGGUGUAGCGGUGAAAUGCGUAGAUAUCUGGAGGAACACCGGUGGCGAAGGCGGCGAUUCUGGACCGACAUUGACGGCUGAGGAGCGAAAGCCAGGGGAGCAAACGGGAUUGAGAUACCCCG
This 269-nucleotide ribosomal RNA is filed under the name uncultured bacterium. Its description in RNAcentral is "partial 16S ribosomal RNA". It matches the Rfam family "Bacterial small subunit ribosomal RNA", at positions 524 to 789 of the family's 1533-position model. The record is from RNAcentral.